UACGGAGGGUGCAAGCAUUGAUCGGAAUUACUGGGCGUAAAGGGCGCGUAGGCGGCUUAGAAAGUCAGAUGUGAAAUUCCGGGGCUCAACCCCGGAGCUGCAUUUGAAACUCCUAAGCUAGAGGAUGGUUAGGGAAAACGGAAUUCCACGUGUAGCGGUGAAAUGCGUAGAUAUGUGGAAGAACACCAGUGGUGAAGACGGUUUUCUGGGCCAAACCUGACGCUGAGGCGCGAAAGCUAGGGGAGCAAACAGG
RNAcentral lists this ribosomal RNA (253 nucleotides) under uncultured bacterium. RNAcentral describes it as "partial 16S ribosomal RNA". It matches the Rfam family "Bacterial small subunit ribosomal RNA", at positions 524 to 776 of the family's 1533-position model. The record is from RNAcentral.